UUUUUUUUUUUUUUUUGUCUUUUUGCUUUUUCUUGGGCCGCUCCCGCGGCAUAUGGAGGGUCCCAGGCUAGGGGUCUAAUCGGAGCCAUAGCCACCGGCCUACACCAGAGCCACAGCAACACGAGAUCUGAGCUGCGUCUGCAACCUACACCACAGCUCACGGCAACGCCAGAUUGUCAACCCACUGAGCAAGGGCAGGGACCGAACCCGCAACCUCAUGGUUCCUAGUCGGAUUCGUUAACCACUGCGCCAUGACGGGAACUCCCAUUCUUUUUCUCAUACUAUCUUCCAUCAUGUUCUGCCCCAAGAGAUUGGAUAGAGUUCCCUCUGCUGUACAGCAGGACCUAAUUGUUUUAUCCAUUCUAAAUGUAAUCGCUCACAUCCACCAACCCCAAACUCCCUGUCCAUCCCACUUCCUUCCCCUUGGCAACCACAAGUCUGCUCUCCAUGUCCAUGAUAUGUUUUCGUUUUGUGGAUAGGAUCAUUUGUGCCAUAUUUUAGAUUCCACAUACAGGAUCAAGAUACCAUAGGAUAUAGUCCUGUCAGGAUCAAGACAAAGAUGUCUACCUUCACCACUGUUAUUCAAGUCCCAGCCAUGGCAAUCAGAGAAGGAAAAGAAAUAAAAGCCAUACAAAUUGGCGAAGAAGAAUUUCCAUUGCUACUGGUGUACCCAUGCAUAUUUGAUGUUAUCCAAGGGUGUCCAGUAAGGAGAGGCGGUCCAACGAACAUUGGUCAAGGGCUGCCGGGGAGCCAGGUAGCAUCGAUUGUUGUCAUUGAUUCCAGAACUUGUGUUCCCAUUUAACAGCAAGCAUACCCAUCACAAGGUGAAACCCAAGACUUAGAAUAAGAUAACUUGAGCCAUAGCAACACAGGAUCUGAAUCCGGUCUGCGAUCUACACCACAGCUCACUGCAAUCCCAGGAUUCUUAACCCACUGAAUGAGGUCAGGGAUCGAACCUACGCCCUCAUGGAUGCUAGUCAGACUUGUUUCCACUGAUCCACGACGGGAACUCCCUCCCCAGCUUUUUAAUAGAAUAUUCUUCAUUUGGUGUUUGUCUGUCAUGUCCUCAUAAUUAGAUCGAGGUUAUAUUGUCCCAGCCAGAGAACUGCAGAGGUGAUACUAGAUCCUUCUCAGGGCAUCUCAUCUAGAGACACAGCCUCCAUCUGCCUCUCACUAGUGAUAAUUUUGAUCACCCAGUCAAGGUGCCUGAUUUUUCUACUGAAUAGUUACAUAUUUUUCUCUUGUAACUAAUGAGCAAUCUGGGUGAUAUUUAAAGGCCUUGUACAAAUAUGUUGCACCUCAUCAAAAUUUCCCCUUGGAAAAAAAAAAAAAAAAGAAUAAGAUAACUUGCCCAGAGGCAUGGUGCGGAGCCACCAUCUGCAGCCUAAGUUUCUUUCAUCACAUGGGGCUGCCGGUGAGAACCAUGAACCUGGAUCUGCUUCAGGAAUAACAUCCAAUUUCCUCACCUCCUGCCUCCCCCACACCCCUCAUCCUUCUAGAAUCAGUGGAUCCCUGCCACAACUGAGGAAGAUGACUAGGAUUGGGACCGAACCACCGAAUGACGUAGCAACCGGAACCAAAACAUAACAUAACAUAACAUAACCAUCAGCUACUCACUGUGCAAUUGCCACAAUUAUCCAAGGUGGGCAACUACUACUGUUUUCAUCAUUUUGCUCUGAUAGAACAGAGUAUCCGAGAGAUUAAGCAAUCUGCACAAGGGCACAUAACUGCUACGUGGCAGGGCUGAGAUUCGAAUGCUGGUCUUUCCAAGAGGCAGCUGGAGCUACCGGGGAAGUGGGAAAUCAGAGACCAAAACAGGGACAAAAGUGGGGCUACUGUGUGUGCAGCAUGAAGCUAGGCUCUGACGAUUGGGAGCAGGGGGCAGAAUGGGAGGCUGCAAAGUGAGGAAGGGCGCUUAAGGUAUUCUGCAGUCAAAGGACGCAUUCACCACCCAAGAGCUGGUCGUGGGCAAUGGGGGGUGGCAUUUACGAGGCAUCCUUUAGGGUUCCAUUGGUACUUUAGGGUACCAAUGCGACUAUUCAAAAUUCUGUCCCCAGCAUCAUGGGUCGGGGGCACAAGAGGAGACUGGAUGGAGGUCCCGGGAGAGCCUCUGAGCGUGGAGCCAACAGUCCUGACGCAGGAGGAGAGGCUCUCAGCAGAGCCCUCGGAUGCACUUCUCUUCAAUCACUCAGCUGUGUCUCCCCGGAGCCCUGAGAGGCAGUGCAGGCAAAGGCAGACGAGGCACCUGCGAGAAAGAAUGAGGACUCUGACAUCAGACAGAGCUAUUAUGAGCUCCUGCUCCCCUGAUUCGUGGCUCUGAGACUCUGGGGACUUGCUCAUUUCCCUGAGCCUCAGCAUCUCAGCUGUGACAUGGAGAUAUUACCUUUCCUCCUAAAGUGCCAAAGACAAAAACCAUGUAACCCGUGGAGACAUCCAGAGCACACGGGGGAUCAUCAAAGCAGGUGAGUCCUUCUCACCUCCACGUGGGGAAAACACUCAGUGUGAGGAACUAGGGAGAAAAUAAAGAAUCAGGAGGCUUUUUAUUGCUUUUUAGGAGCUUAUAAUUUAGUUGGAACGCAGGACAAAAAGGAAUAAGCAGAAGAAAAAAUAAAUAAAUACUGCAAUCUCCUGAGGGGUCGCCUGGCUUCCU
Molecule: long non-coding RNA, 2650 nt
Filed under: Sus scrofa (pig)
Lineage: Eukaryota; Metazoa; Chordata; Mammalia; Artiodactyla; Suidae
Description: lncRNA (ENSSSCG00025011924.1)
Source: RNAcentral